Molecule: ribosomal RNA, 497 nt
Filed under: uncultured bacterium
Lineage: Bacteria
Description: partial 16S ribosomal RNA
Rfam family: Bacterial small subunit ribosomal RNA
Source: RNAcentral
GACGAACGCUGGCGGCGUGCCUAAUACAUGCAAGUUGAGCGCUGAAGGUUGGUACUUGUACCGACUGGAUGAGCAGCGAACGGGUGAGUAACGCGUGGGGAAUCUGCCUUUGAGCGGGGGACAACAUUUGGAAACGAAUGCUAAUACCGCAUAAAAACUUUAAACACAAGUUUUAAGUUUGAAAGAUGCAAUUGCAUCACUCAAAGAUGAUCCCGCGUUGUAUUAGCUAGUUGGUGAGGUAAAGGCUCACCAAGGCGAUGAUACAUAGCCGACCUGAGAGGGUGAUCGGCCACAUUGGGACUGAGACACGGCCCAAACUCCUACGGGAGGCAGCAGUAGGGAAUCUUCGGCAAUGGACGAAAGUCUGACCGAGCAACGCCGCGUGAGUGAAGAAGGUUUUCGGAUCGUAAAACUCUGUUGGUAGAGAAGAACGUUGGUGAGAGUGGAAAGCUCAUCAAGCGACGGUAACUACCCAGAAAGGGACGGCUAACUACGUG